Molecule: ribosomal RNA, 465 nt
Filed under: Vreelandella stevensii
Lineage: Bacteria; Pseudomonadati; Pseudomonadota; Gammaproteobacteria; Oceanospirillales; Halomonadaceae
Description: partial 16S ribosomal RNA
Rfam family: Bacterial small subunit ribosomal RNA
Source: RNAcentral
CCUACGGGUGGCAGCAGUGGGGAAUAUUGGACAAUGGGCGAAAGCCUGAUCCAGCCAUGCCGCGUGUGUGAAGAAGGCCUUCGGGUUGUAAAGCACUUUCAGUGGGGGAGAAAGCCUUGGGGCUAAUACCCUCGAGGAAGGACAUCACCCACAGAAGAAGCACCGGCUAACUCCGUGCCAGCAGCCGCGGUAAUACGGAGGGUGCGAGCGUUAAUCGGAAUUACUGGGCGUAAAGCGCGCGUAGGCGGUCUGAUAAGCCGGUUGUGAAAGCCCCGGGCUCAACCUGGGAACGGCAUCCGGAACUGUCAGGCUAGAGUGCAGGAGAGGAAGGUAGAAUUCCCGGUGUAGCGGUGAAAUGCGUAGAGAUCGGGAGGAAUACCAGUGGCGAAGGCGGCCUUCUGGACUGACACUGACGCUGAGGUGCGAAAGCGUGGGUAGCAAACAGGAUUAGAUACCCUGGUAGUC